RNAcentral lists this unclassified non-coding RNA (400 nucleotides) under uncultured fungus. Its description in RNAcentral is "sequence contains ITS1". Lineage: Eukaryota; Fungi. The record is from RNAcentral.
ACGUCAUCCCCACCUUCCUCCGGUUUGUCACCGGCAGUCUCAUUAGAGUGCUCAACUAAAUGUAGCAACUAAUGACAAGGGUUGCGCUCGUUGCGGGACUUAACCCAACAUCUCACGACACGAGCUGACGACAGCCAUGCAGCACCUGUGUUACGGCUCUCUUUCGAGCACACCUCGAUCUCUCGUGGCUUCCGUACAUGUCAAGGGUAGGUAAGGUUUUUCGCGUUGCAUCGAAUUAAUCCACAUCAUCCACCGCUUGUGCGGGUCCCCGUCAAUUCCUUUGAGUUUUAAUCUUGCGACCGUACUCCCCAGGCGGUCUACUUCACGCGUUAGCUGCGUUACCAAGUUAAUUAAAACCCGACAACUAGUAGACAUCGUUUAGGGCGUGGACUACCAGGGU